Molecule: small RNA, 775 nt
Filed under: Pongo abelii (Sumatran orangutan)
Lineage: Eukaryota; Metazoa; Chordata; Mammalia; Primates; Hominidae
Description: retained intron
Source: RNAcentral
CGCACCCUGGGGAGGAGCCUUUGGGCGCGUGCCCCUGACCGAAGCCCCCUCCGCCCCUCUGAGCUCGGGCCCGGAGCCCCCGGGAGCCUGCCUGCGAGUCCUCGCGGGAACGGGAAGCCGGGACCCAGAACUCUUGUCUUUCAGGAUAAAGUGGCCAGUGUGUACGAAGCCCCGGGCUUUUUCCUGGACCUGGAGCCCAUCCCGGGAGCCUUGGACGCUGUGCGGGAGAUGAACGACCUACCGGAGUAAGGAGAGUGGGGGCAGGCGGAGUCCUGGGCGGGCUCCUGGCUCCCGGCGGUAACCACGUCCUUCUCCGCAGCACGGAGGUCUUCAUCUGCACCAGCCCCCUGCUGAAGUACGACCACUGUGUGGGUGAGAAGUACCGCUGGGUGGAGCAGCACUUGGGGCCCCAGUUCGUAGAACGAAUUAUCCUGACAAGGGACAAGACGGUGGUCUUGGGGGACCUGCUCAUUGACGACAAGGACACAAUUCGAGGCCAGGAGGAGACCCCAAGCUGGGAGCACAUCUUGUUCACCUGCUGCCACAAUCGGCACCUGGUCCUGCCCCCGACAAGGAGACGGCUGCUCUCCUGGAGUGACAACUGGAGGGAGAUCUUAGACAGCAAGCGAGGAGCUGCGCAGCGGGAAUGAGCGGGGAUGCGGCGGGCAGCAGCUGGAGCUGAAGGAACGACAGCCCCACAGGGGCCACCGCAGAGCCGAGUCGGGGCGGCAUCGUGCUGGUGCCUCUGGCCCCGUGGGGUGGAGCAGGCAGAUAC